Non-coding RNA from Pangasianodon gigas (Mekong giant catfish), 73 nucleotides. The record is from the annotation of a GenBank genome assembly. Lineage: Eukaryota; Metazoa; Chordata; Actinopteri; Siluriformes; Pangasiidae.
UCUGAUGUAGCUCAGUGGUUAAGACGUUGGACUCCUGAUCAGAAGGUCAUAAGUUCAAUCCUCAGCACUGCUG